This 253-nucleotide ribosomal RNA is filed under the name uncultured bacterium. RNAcentral describes it as "partial 16S ribosomal RNA". It matches the Rfam family "Bacterial small subunit ribosomal RNA", at positions 524 to 776 of the family's 1533-position model. The record is from RNAcentral.
UACGUAGGGUCCGAGCGUUGUCCGGAAUUAUUGGGCGUAAAGGGCUCGUAGGCGGUUCGUCACGUCGGGAGUGAAAACUCGGGGCUUAACUCCGGGCCUGCAGUGGGUACGGGCAGACUAGAGUGCGGUAGGGGAGACUGGAAUUCCUGGUGUAGCGGUGAAAUGCGCAGAUAUCAGGAGGAACACCGGUGGCGAAGGCGGGUCUCUGGGCCGUAACUGACGCUGAGGAGCGAAAGCGUGGGGAGCGAACAGG